GACGAACGCUGGCGGCGUGCUUAACACAUGCAAGUCGCACGGAUAUGCUCUGCUUUUUUGGUGUGCUCGAGUUGCGAACGGGUUAGUAACACGUGCGUCACCUGCCCUUGACUUUGGGAUAACUUCAGUAAACUCGGGCUCGUACCGCAUAGGAGCUCCUGCUGCCUGGUGGGGGUUGGAAAGUUUCGGCGGUUGGGGAUGGACUCGCGGCUUAUCAGCUUGUUGGUGGGGUAGUGGCUUCCCAAAGCUUUGACGGGUAGCCGGGCUGGGGGGGGGACAGGACAAAUUGGGACUGAGAUAAGGCACAGACUAGUAUGGGAGGCAAGAGAGGAGAAAAUUGUACAAUGGGCGGAAGGCAGAUGCAGCAACGCAGCGUGGGGGAUGACGGGACUGGGGUCGUAAAGCGAUUUGGCUUGGGAGGAGGAGAGAGUGACGGUAAUGGGUAAAGAAGCACCGGCUAACUACGUG
This 468-nucleotide ribosomal RNA is filed under the name uncultured bacterium. Its description in RNAcentral is "partial 16S ribosomal RNA". It matches the Rfam family "Bacterial small subunit ribosomal RNA", at positions 28 to 507 of the family's 1533-position model. The record is from RNAcentral.